ACUCCUACGGGAGGCAGCAGUAGGGAAUAUUGGUCAAUGGGCGAAAGCCUGAACCAGCCAUGCCGCGUGUCAGAUGAAGGUCCUCUGGAUUGUAAAUGACUUUUCUACGGGAAGAAUGAGCCGUCUGCGGACGGAAGUUGACGGUACCGUAGGAAUAAGCACCGGCUAACUACGUGCCAGCAGCCGCGGUAAUACGUAGGGGUGCAAGCGUUGUCCGGAUUUACUGGGGUUUAAAGGGUACGUAGGCGGUUGUGCCAAGUCUGGGGUGAAAGUUUGCAGCUCAACUGUAAAAUUGCCUUGGAUACUGGUCGGCUAGAGUAGUGGAGCGGUGGCUGGAAUUUAUAGUGUAGCGGUGAAAUGCUUAGAUACUAUGAGGAACACCAAUUGCGAAGGCAGGUCACUGGUCACUAACUGACGCUGAGGUACGAAAGUGUGGGGAUCAAACAGGAUUAGAUACCCUGGUAGGAUAGCG
This 472-nucleotide ribosomal RNA is filed under the name uncultured bacterium. Its description in RNAcentral is "bacterial SSU rRNA". It matches the Rfam family "Bacterial small subunit ribosomal RNA", at positions 335 to 799 of the family's 1533-position model. The record is from RNAcentral.